RNAcentral lists this ribosomal RNA (392 nucleotides) under uncultured Aquicella sp. RNAcentral's name for it is "bacterial SSU rRNA". It matches the Rfam family "Bacterial small subunit ribosomal RNA", at positions 954 to 1347 of the family's 1533-position model. Lineage: Bacteria; Pseudomonadati; Pseudomonadota; Gammaproteobacteria; Legionellales; Coxiellaceae. The record is from RNAcentral.
GAUUAACGCGAAGAACCUUACCUCCCUUGACAUCCUAGGAAUCUGGCAGAGAUGCUGGAGUGCCGAAAGGAACCUAGAGACAGGUGCUGCAUGGCUGUCGUCAGCUCGUGUUGUGAGAUGUUGGGUUAAGUCCCGUAACGAGCGCAACCCUUAUCCUUAGUUGCCAACAUGUAAUGGUGGGGACUCUAAGGAGACUGCCGGUGAUGAACCGGAGGAAGGCGGGGACGACGUCAAGUCAUCAUGGCCUUUAUGGGUAGGGCUACACACGUGCUACAAUGGGGCGUACAGAGGGAAGCCAACUCGCGAGAGGGAGCCGAUCCAGAAAGCGUCUCGUAGUCCGGAUUGGAGUCUGCAACUCGACUCCAUGGAGUCGGAAUCGCUAGUAAUCGCGA